RNAcentral lists this ribosomal RNA (274 nucleotides) under uncultured bacterium. RNAcentral describes it as "partial 16S ribosomal RNA". It matches the Rfam family "Bacterial small subunit ribosomal RNA", at positions 523 to 796 of the family's 1533-position model. The record is from RNAcentral.
AUACGAAGGGGGCUAGCGUUGUUCGGAAUCACUGGGCGUAAAGCGCGCGUAGGUGGAUCAAUUAGUUGAGGGUGAAAUCCCGGGGCUCAACCUCGGAACUGCCUUCAAUACUGUUAAUCUUGAGACCGAGAGAGGUGAGUGGAAUUCCUAGUGUAGAGGUGAAAUUCGUAGAUAUUAGGAAGAACACCAGUGGCGAAGGCGGCUCACUGGCUCGGUACUGACGCUGAGGUGCGAAAGCGUGGGGAGCAAACAGGAUUAGAAACCCUAGUAGUCC